UAGAUUUGUCUGAAGUCAAACUUUGCUAAGUUUGACCAAAUUUAUAUUAAAAAAUAUUAACAUCUAUAAUACCUAAUGAAUAUAAUAUGAAAGUAUAUUCCAAGAUGGUUCUAAUGAUAUUGGUGUUGACAUGUGAAUGUUAAUAAUUUUUUGUAUAAACUUGGUCAAACUUUGAAGAGUUUGACUUCAGACAAACCUAA
Molecule: microRNA precursor, 200 nt
Filed under: Triticum urartu
Lineage: Eukaryota; Viridiplantae; Streptophyta; Magnoliopsida; Poales; Poaceae
Description: MIR1435 microRNA precursor family
Rfam family: MIR1435 microRNA precursor family
Source: Rfam by way of RNAcentral